GUGCUCACUUGGGCAGCACAUAGACUGAAAUCGGAACGAUUCAGAGAAGAUUAUCGUGGCACCUGUGCAAGAAUGACACCCAAAUUCGUGAAGCGUCCCAUAUAUUU
Echinops telfairi (small Madagascar hedgehog) is the source of this 107-nucleotide small nuclear RNA. NCBI's taxonomy places the organism in Eukaryota, Metazoa, Chordata, Mammalia, Afrosoricida, Tenrecidae. The record is from RefSeq and is a predicted model, not a curated record.